This is a non-coding RNA of Miniopterus natalensis, 714 nucleotides long. Lineage: Eukaryota; Metazoa; Chordata; Mammalia; Chiroptera; Miniopteridae. The record is from RefSeq and is a predicted model, not a curated record.
AAGAAUUGGUAAGGAGCAGAGGUGGUAUUUCAAAACCCAGCUCUGCCUACUUUUUGACAUGCUGACUUCUGUGGAACACCUUUGUCACUGUUUCAAUCAUUCCACAAAUUCAGAUGCAGUCCUGUAUAUUUUGGGUGUUUAGCAUGCACCAGACAUUUAUUUGUCUAAUUGUUUUGCCUAUAUCAUCCCAUUUGAGACCACACCUGUCAUGGGAGUUUGGGUGUGUCAUUCCCAUUUGCAGAUGAGAACUCUGAGUAUCAGAGACCUUCUAUUUUGUCUCUUCUCCCUCUAGGCAGGCUGCCCCAAACCAUCGCAGCAUUUACAUACCCAUUUCUUUGGUUAGAAUCCUCCCCAGCCACAGUCCCAUUCUCCUUGGACCUCCAGCUAGAAAGAAAUGGGGCCUGUUCAAGACUUUCUGUUGAUAAAAUGUUGGAGUCCCAACUCUACCACUCCAGAGCUGGGGCGACUUGGGAUUUGAGGUCUGCAUGGCAGGUCCCUGGAAGCUCUUUGAAGACUGAGAAGCACUGUGCACACAGGAGUUAUUUCUAUAACAGGAGUUAGUAGUGGCUCAAGCCUGGGAUUUCCAGGGACCAAGAAAAUUUAGUCCAACCAGGCCUAGGCCUUAAAAGUGGUUUACAUGAUAGAGGAGUGGAAUUGUGGCCUACCAGACUCCAACUCCCAUUCACCUUACCUGUCAGCCCACCUUCCAGGAUC